Molecule: transfer RNA, 95 nt
Filed under: Colletotrichum incanum
Lineage: Eukaryota; Fungi; Ascomycota; Sordariomycetes; Glomerellales; Glomerellaceae
Rfam family: tRNA
About the family: Transfer RNA (tRNA) molecules are approximately 80 nucleotides in length. Their secondary structure includes four short double-helical elements and three loops (D, anti-codon, and T loops).
Source: Rfam by way of RNAcentral
GGCCGGCUGGCGCAAUGGUAGCGCGUCAGACUUCUACCAUCUCAUUAGGAGUCGUGGUUAUCUGAAGGCUGCGGGUUCGAGCCCCGCGCUGGUCA